UGAGCCGCGCCAAUAUCC
RNAcentral lists this non-coding RNA (18 nucleotides) under Arabidopsis thaliana (thale cress). Lineage: Eukaryota; Viridiplantae; Streptophyta; Magnoliopsida; Brassicales; Brassicaceae. The record is from RNAcentral.